AGGAGAAGCAGGAGAAAAGGAAGCCUGGACGGUAUCAUCUUGAGGGAACAUACUUAAACGAGUGGAAGCAGAUUAAAGGAAAAGAAGAGAAACCAAACCAAGACAACUUAGUGUGACUCAUGCAGUUCCAGGUAAUAAAAAACUUACAGGUUUUUGAGAUCCUAUUAACUGUUUACAUAAUGAUGUUUAAAGUUUCUGGCUUGCAAUAUGCUUUCAUGACUUCACAAAAGACCCAUAUUAGCUUAUUGUUAUAUCUUCAAUAUUAUAAAAGUGUUCAGAUGAUUCAGAAGAGACAGAGCCUAUUUGUGAGGUCAGGGGAGCUGAUCAUCUCUAAGCAUCUAAUGUGCUUAUCACCAGCUCUGCCCCCAAGUUAGAAAGAUUGCAUAACAUUAGGUGUUGUCAGAACACGGUAAGGGAAAUGACUUCAUUCAAGAUCUAACGAUGUUGGUGCUCCAUACCAACCAACUGCUAUUUUCCCCUUUUUGUUUACCCAACAAUAUCCCCCAAGCUCGCUGAUCCAUGUUGAGCCAUAUAAUUUGAGAAGCCAGCCUCACAUGUGAGCAGAAAGUAAAUACUUACCUAAUGACUAAGAGAUUGAUGCAAUGAUUGAGUGCGAUUGUUCCUGCGGCUUUUUGAUCAAUGCCACUGGAUGAAAUGAAUACUAUGGACACCUACUGUCAAAGCAUAUGUUAGCUUAACUUUAACAAGGCAGCAUAAAUGACACUCAGUCUUGUUUUAGUUUUUCAGCCACACCCAUGGCACAUGGAAGUUCCCAAGACACCGACUGAAUCUGAGCCACAGCUACAACCUACACCACAGCUGCAGCAACACUGGAUCCUUGAAUCCACUGCACCACAGCAGGAACUCCUUGUUUUUGCUUUUGAUCCAUUUAUUAGUUUAUCUAAUAAUGGGUUGAAAGCCACAACAAUGAAAAAUUCUUAACAAUCUAAGAACUAAAUAAGACUUAAACUGAACAAUUUCAGUGUGAUUAAUUUAUUACGAAGCAAAAAAAAUUUCAAUAUUCAAUUUGACUAGGGACCCAGACAGAGGAUGCACCUAAUAUAAAAAUUAAGCAUCUGUCCUUUAACAAGUUAAUAAACUGACGCUAACAUUUUCCCUUCUGUAAUUUAAAGUGGCAUUUAAUUUUGAAUUUAAAUAUUUAAACGGUUAUCCACUGACCCAAACAAAGUACUAUGAAGAAGAGUAAAAAUGUUCACUUAUUAAAGUCAUAAAUGAAAUUGCUUCAUUUUGGAAGGAACAGCACACCAAGGUAAUCUUUUAUUCAAUAAACAUAAAUGAGCAUUUUAAUCAGUUAAGAAAGACUGUUAGUAUGGUCGGAAACCUUUACAAAAAAAAAAAUGUUAUUUGGGGGAUUCUCAAAGCUAGUAAGGGUGUGUAGUUACCACAUGAGAAAAAAUACACUCUCUUUUAGCUUGAUCAACUAUAUUUUUAUGCCAAAACAUAAACACUGCUGGUUUAAAAAAGAGAAGAAGAAGAUGGAUGGGUUUCUUUUUUUGUUUUGACUGUGGUCUCUGGUAAAAGUGGAAACCACUGUUUGAAAACAUUUAUAGCUAAAUAGUCCUAAAUACUUUUAAAAUCCUAAAGGAAAAGAAAAAUCCACAUCUACAGUUACUUAUCUUCCAUGGGGCCAAGGAAUCCAAUGUUACAAGUUCACAAGAAUCCACAUUAUUCUCCUCCCUAAUGCAGCCAAGCCUUGUGAGUACUUGUGACAUCACAGCAUGUUCUCACAAAAAUUAAUUUCCAAUCAAAAAGGCAGGACAAUGCUUCCUUUCAGCAGAGGGACAGAUAAGGUAACAGAGGGACACUGUGGUUUAAGCACAGAUAGUCUACUAUGAGGAACAAGAAGAAUCUAAGUGUUCUUGACUCUAUAUUCCUUUAUGUUUCUCCUGGUGGACUCUGAGUUUACUUUAAAAGAGCUAUUAAGAAUCUGCCUCUGGAAAAGAUCUUUUAAAAAUCACAAACACAGAGACACUUGGAAAGGACAGGAGGAGAAAACAACACAGGUCAUCUUAUAAAACUGAUUAUGUGAAGUCUCUCCACACAGUACAUAUGUCAGCGUUGAGGAAAAACAAUAUCCAGAUAAAUUCAGCAGAUAUUCUUUCUUCUGGAGAAAAACCUAUGUCUUUCUGUACAUUGUGAAGCAAAGAGGGUAGGGUGGGAGCAGUUAGGUUUUAUCCAUGAGUAUAAACAACAGGCUGGCUUUUGAAAAAUAAGCCAAACCCAAAAUAGCCCAGGAAAAAAAUAUUUUGUAAUAAAAAAGGGCUAUAUAUAAGUGCAUACAUACAUAUAUAUAUAUAUAUUUUUCCCCCCCUGUCCAAAUCUGGAAUCCUUACUAUCUUAUUUUAAACAAACCAGAGAUUGCAAGCUUCAAUCUGUUUGGAUAGAAAAGAAUUUAUAUAAAUGUUUUGUUCCAGCCCAAAAGGGAAAGAGAGUUUAAAUACACAGUGCAUGAAAGAUGCAUGCCCAACUUCAAAACAGCUUAGUGCAGAGGAGAGGAAAAAUAACCCAACCUUCUGUUAGUCCUUAGCAGCAGUCUUUAAACUGAAAUAUCUUGUGAUUUGCAACAUCGUUUCCAUGACCCCAACCCUAAGCGAUUAACCAAAAUUUCAUAACUGCCCUGCUCUGGUGCCUCUUCGGGUGGGGAGAACAGGAGGGUCAACGAAGAAUAAUGGAAGCAAAAAUCUGUAUUUUGCACCCUUCCUCUGCACUUGAGAAAGAAAAAACCAGGGCAGAUAAAUCUGUAUAAUACUAAACCAAAUCUCCUUAAUUCCAGUCAGCUUUUAUCAUUCAGUCACUGAGUCUGUGUGUGGAAAAAUUCAUGCUAAUUCCCCCUAGCAACAGCCUCAGCCUAUCAGGAAGACUUUAUGUACCAUGCAGCUGCCAGCCAGAGAGAAUAACUCUAAGUAGGUCAGGCCUGUAUUUCUAAAAAUGCUACGGUCUAGUAACCCCACUGUCCUGUCUGUCUGCCCUGCCCCAUAAUAACCUCAAUUGCUUGGUGACACAAUGACAUACUACCCUGUUAGAGAGCAAUCACAUCAUGCUACAUUAUUCUGCUUCGGGCAUGACUGCUGGGUGAAGGACCCACGGAGGGGCAGCAUUAAUCAGGCAGCCAUUCACGUCCACCAGCACUUCAGUCCCGAAAUGGGGACUGCAUUAAUGACCAGCUGUUUGAACGAACACAAACAAAAUAAUGUCUUCCACCCUGUUGGGUGCACAGAAUGAGCUAUUCUGAUCUGGCAGGUUCCGCUCCUUGACUAAAUCGAAGAUGUAAAUUAAACGGGCUCCGACAAUGUCAGCUUUGGCAACCUCAGAGUAAGUAUAUUUAAAUUAUAUUACGUGGGAUUCAAAAAGCUAUUGAUUUAAUAUACAGGGCUUUCCCCUGCCUGCGCGUCUCCCUAAUCCACAUUAAAAAGGGAAAUGCAUAAACGGGUAACGUAAUACAUAUGCGCGUAUUACCCAGGAAGCCGAGAGAGAGUGGGGCUGAACUGAAAUUGACUUCUCUUCGGGCAGAGAAACAAAGCGGGUGUGGAGUAAUUGUGCAGUGUGAACACAAAUACAAAUAGGCAAUGAAUGCCGUGGAGGAGCACUGAAAACAAAUAAGAGUAAACAUCCUAAGCCUACCAACCAAUCAGCUCCUCCCACCGUGUCUCUGUGGGGGCUGUGGGCGCACCGCAAUCGCUAAGAACCAGAGACAAGGGAGGGAAGUGAAAACGUGGCCUUAGAAUCUCAACCACGGUGGUGCCCCAACUUGGCCUGGGGUUAUUCAGGCACUGCUGUUUGGCUUCAGGACAACCAAGGCUCCUUCAAGGUUUAUACCAGGGCUAGCAACAAAAAGCAGAACCCCACAGGAGUUUUCAAAUUCUAAAAUGGGCAUUUUCAAAUUCAAUUGACCCAAUUUAUCAGAAUAUAGCUUUUAACUCCUCUCCAUGUUAAUGCACAAAAACACGUAAACAAACACUUCCUGAGGAUGCAGAGAUAAGGGAGACGAGCAGUGCUGUUUUGGGCUAUUUGGGGGAAUAUCUUGCACUGAUGGGGCAAAGUGCUAAUAUUU
Molecule: long non-coding RNA, 4072 nt
Filed under: Sus scrofa (pig)
Lineage: Eukaryota; Metazoa; Chordata; Mammalia; Artiodactyla; Suidae
Description: lncRNA (ENSSSCG00035035469.1)
Source: RNAcentral